This 468-nucleotide ribosomal RNA is filed under the name uncultured bacterium. RNAcentral's name for it is "partial 16S ribosomal RNA". It matches the Rfam family "Bacterial small subunit ribosomal RNA", at positions 28 to 507 of the family's 1533-position model. The record is from RNAcentral.
GACGAACGCUGGCGGCGUGCUUAACACAUGCAAGUCGAACGGAAAGGCCCUGCUUUUGUGGGGUGCUCGAGUGGCGAACGGGUGAGUAACACGUGAGUAACCUGCCCUUGACUUUGGGAUAACUUCAGGAAACUGGGGCUAAUACCGGAUAGGAGCUCCUGCUGCAUGGUGGGGGUUGGAAAGUUUCGGCGGUUGGGGAUGGACUCGCGGCUUAUCAGCUUGUUGGUGGGGUAGUGGCUUACCAAGGCUUUGACGGGUAGCGGGCCUGAGAGGGUGACCGGCCACAUUGGGACUGAGAUACGGCCCAGACUCCUACGGGAGGCAGCAGUGGGGGAUAUGGCACUGUGGGCGAAAGCCUGAUGCAGCAACGCCGCGUGCGGGAUGACGCCCUUCGGGUUGUAAACCGCUUUCGCCUGUGACGAAGCGUGAGUGACGGUAAUGCGUAAAGAAGCACCGGCUAACUACGUG